Molecule: ribosomal RNA, 1051 nt
Filed under: uncultured Planctomycetota bacterium
Lineage: Bacteria; Pseudomonadati; Planctomycetota
Description: bacterial SSU rRNA
Rfam family: Bacterial small subunit ribosomal RNA
Source: RNAcentral
UUCGCAAUGCCCGAAAGGGUGACGAAGCGACGCCGCGUGUGGGAAGAAGGCCCUAGGGUUGUAAACCGCUGUCAGGAGUUAAGAAAUAUAGAGGUGUUAAUAGCGCUUCUAUUUGACGAAAGCUCCAGAGGAAGCCACGGCUAACUCUGUGCCAGCAGCCGCGGUAAUACAGAGGUGGCAAGCGUUGUUCGGAAUUAUUGGGCGUAAAGAGCACGUAGGCGGCCCUGCAAGUCAGUUGUGAAAGCCUUCCGCUUAACGGGAGAACGGCAGCUGAUACUACGGGGCUAGAGUACGGGAGGGGAGAGUGGAACUUCUGGUGGAGCGGUGAAAUGCGUAGAUAUCAGAAGGAACGCCGGCGGCGAAAGCGACUCUCUGGACCGAAACUGACGCUGAGUGUGCGAAAGCUAGGGGAGCAAACGGGAUUAGAUACCCCGGUAGUCCUAGCCGUAAACGAUGGGCACUAAGUAGAGGGGCUUUGAUUAUCUCUCUGCCGGAGCUAACGCAUUAAGUGCCCCGCCUGGGGAGUACGGCCGCAGGGCUAAAACUCAAAAGAAUUGACGGGGGCUCGCACAAGCGGUGGAGCAUGUGGCUUAAUUCGAUGCAACGCGAAGAACCUUACCGGGGCUUGACAUGAUAGAAGUAGAAACCCGAAAGGGCGACGAACGGUAUCCAAUCCGUAACUAUCACAGGUGUUGCAUGGCUGUCGUCAGCUCGUGUCGUGAGACGUUGGGUUAAGUCCCCUAACGAGCGAAACCCUUGUCUUUAGUUGCCAUCAGGUUAAGCUGGGCACUCUAAAGAGACUGCCGUCGUUAAGACGGAGGAAGGUGGGGAUGACGUCAAGUCAUCAUGGCCCUUAUGUCCCGGGCUGCGCACGUGCUACAAUGGUCGAUACAAAGGGAUGCUAAAUCGUGAGAUGGAGCGAAACCCAUAAAGUCGAUCCCAGUUCAGAUUGGAGGCUGAAACUCGCCUCCAUGAAGUAGGAAUCGCUAGUAAUCGCGGAUCAGCCUCGCCGCGGUGAAUAUGUUCCCGAGCCUUGUACACACCGCCCGUG